CGCACAUGUCUGAUGGAGGAGUCGCCCUCAGAAAGUAGAUGACCCGCUCCAGCUGAUGAGAGGGGCAGAGAGGACCCAGCUGAGAAGUGGAGGGAAUCUCUGAACAGCGCUUGAGGAACGAACAUAUGAUAAGUUCUCAGCCUCUGCUAGUCAGGAGAAUGCAAAUUAAAGCCAACACAAGAUACUAGAGGCCCCCAGACUAGCACAGCGUCAGGAGGGUGCGGCACUGUGGGCUCUGGGCCAGGGCGACCCUGCCUCUUCCUCAGUCUGGAGGAACCUGCCCUGACCCAGGAGGACCACAUCGGGCUCGCUGCGGAGCCUGUAUCCCAGCGGAAAGGAGACGUGGUCACAUGACAGACCGGGAGGAGCGCACGCUGCGAGCGUGCCCAGGGCUUGCUGUCUACGUGAAGCUCAACGCGUGAGCCGCGUGCGCGCACUGCAUGGGGUCACCGCACAGCGACAAGUGGUUUGCGCUCUGUGGGCGUUGGGGGCGAGGGGAGGGGAGGGGAGAGGCGGGAGCACGAGGUCUUCUGCGUCCUCCACAGGUCACUGGUGGCCUUCAGGGCCUUUAAAAUUAAAUGCCGAUUAUAUGAGAAAAAAUCCCCUGUCGAGCUCCUGCCUCGCCGCCCGCCCGCCCGGAACCGAAACACAGUGGCAGAGGCAGGACUUAGGGGGCCACAGCAAGACCCUGGCGAGGGCGGGGCUGGGAGCGGGAUGCGUGGCCACGUGCGGUCAGCGGGGACUCGCCAUGGGCGGCACCCACCACCCAGCUGUGGCCCCAGAGGCCGGAAGAUUAAUCGAUCAGCUGCCUGCGCCGUCAGGUCUGUUCCUGGAAAAAGGAAAAACUGUCCCGAGUCCUGCGGCCCGUCCUCCUGGCAGCGCACCCCUUCCUGCACCAGCAGUCUCUCCCGAGUGACCCACUCCCUGCAGCUUGCAAACCCCAAGACGCCAGCCUCUACAGCACCAGAGCCCCGCAUGCCGCCCCUCCCCAGCCACGGCUGCACGUCUCUGCGCCCCUCGGCACUCACGGAGCGGCAGUGCAGUCUUCCCUGGAGCGCACCUGCAGUAUGUUGGCUCUGAACACGGCCUGACUUCCGUCGAGACCACUUCUGUCCUCGGCAGUCCACACAAGCAACUUGCCUUUUGAUUUCUCUCCCGACAGGGCACCUGGCAGCCUUCCUGCUCUCUUCCUAGGGAAGGGAAUAUGAGCAACUGUGUGCUGGUUGGGAAAGGAGAUGUUCUGUAUGUAAAGGGAAGUUUAAGCCUUCCGGAAAAGCCAUUUAUUAUAAAAGGAUAUCGUAAAUUGUUUUUUUAAAGAUGGCCUACUCUUUCCUUCCUUUUUGAGAUGGUGGUGUAAAGAUGUGAUGCCUUGAGCUAUGGCAGCCCCUUGGGCCUUGAGGCAACAUACAAAAAACCAAAAAUCGUAUGUGGUGAC
This 1435-nucleotide long non-coding RNA is filed under the name Heterocephalus glaber (naked mole-rat). Its description in RNAcentral is "lncRNA (ENSHGLG00000036023.1)". The record is from RNAcentral. Lineage: Eukaryota; Metazoa; Chordata; Mammalia; Rodentia; Bathyergidae.